Molecule: small RNA, 17 nt
Filed under: Arabidopsis thaliana (thale cress)
Lineage: Eukaryota; Viridiplantae; Streptophyta; Magnoliopsida; Brassicales; Brassicaceae
Description: ATSL154400
Source: RNAcentral
AAAAGAUGAAUUUAACC